Molecule: ribosomal RNA, 378 nt
Filed under: uncultured archaeon
Lineage: Archaea
Description: bacterial SSU rRNA
Rfam family: Archaeal small subunit ribosomal RNA
Source: RNAcentral
CCGACGGUGAGGGGCGAAAGCUGGGGGAGCAAACCGGAUUAGAUACCCGGGUAGUCCCAGCUGUAAACGAUGCGCGUUAGGUGUAUCAGUGACCACGAGUCACUGAGGUGCCGAAGAGAAAUCGUGAAACGUGCCGCCUGGGAAGUACGGUCGCAAGGCUGAAACUUAAAGGAAUUGGCGGGGGAGCACCACAACAGGUGGAGCCUGCGGUUUAAUCGGACUCAACGCCGGAAAUCUCACCAGAUAAGACAGCUGAAUGAUAGUCGGGCUGAAGACUCUACUUGACUAGCUGAGAGGAGGUGCAUGGCCGUCGUCAGUUCGUACCGUGAAGCAUCCUGUUAAGUCAGGCAACGAGCGAGACCCACGCCAACAGUUGCU